UCCGACAUAGCUCAGUUGGUAGAGCGCUUGACUGUUAAUCAAGAUGUCGACGGUUUGAGCCCGCCUGUCGGAG
This 73-nucleotide transfer RNA is filed under the name Lactiplantibacillus plantarum. RNAcentral describes it as "Lactobacillus plantarum tRNA-Asn". It matches the Rfam family "tRNA". Rfam says of the family: Transfer RNA (tRNA) molecules are approximately 80 nucleotides in length. Lineage: Bacteria; Bacillati; Bacillota; Bacilli; Lactobacillales; Lactobacillaceae. The record is from RNAcentral.